CCUACGGGUGGCAGCAGUCGAGAAUCAUUGUCAAUGGGCGAGACCCUGAUCCAGCCAAGCCGCGUGGGGGAAUACAGCCCUACGGGUUGUAAACCCCUUUUAUGGGGGAGCAAAUUACACCACUAGUACCACAAGAGGGAGAACCGGCUAAAUCGGCGCCAGCAGACGCGGUACUACAGAGGCCUCAAGCGUUGUUCGGAAUAACUGGGCGUAAAGUGUGCGUAGGCGGAAUGCCAAGUCAGCGGUAAAAUCGCGGGGCUCAACCUCGCUCCGCCGUUGAAACUGGCGGUCUUGAGUGGGCGAGAAGUAUGCGGAAUGCGUGGUGUAGCGGUGAAAUGCAUAGAUAUCACGCAGAACUCCGAUUGCGAAGGCAGCAUACCGGCGCCCAACUGACGCUGAAGCACGAAAGCGUGGGGAUCGAACAGGAUUAGAUACCCUAGUAGUC
RNAcentral lists this ribosomal RNA (445 nucleotides) under uncultured bacterium. Its description in RNAcentral is "partial 16S ribosomal RNA". It matches the Rfam family "Bacterial small subunit ribosomal RNA", at positions 338 to 795 of the family's 1533-position model. The record is from RNAcentral.